AAAGGAAUUGACGGGACCCCGCACAAGCGGUGGAUCAUGUUGUUUAAUUCGAAGAUACGCGAAGAACCUUACCAGGUCUUGACAUUCCCAGCAAUGCUAUAGAGAUAUAGCGGAGGUUAUCUGGGUAACAGGUGGUGCAUGGUUGUCGUCAGCUCGUGUCGUGAGAUGUUGGGUUAAGUCCCGUAACGAGCGCAACCCUCGUUGCUAGUUGCCAUCAUUAAGUUGGGGACUCUAGCGAGACUGCCAGUGAUAAACUGGAGGAAGGUGGGGAUGACGUCAAAUCAUCAUGCCCCUUAUGACCUGGGCUACAAACGUGAUACAAUGGCUGGAACAAAGGGUGGCGAAAGGGUGACCUGGAGCAAAACUCAGAAAAACAGUCUCAGUUCGGAUUGAAGUCUGCAACUCGACUUCAUGAAGCCGGAAUCGCUAGUAAUCGUGGAUCAGAACGCCACGGUGAAUACGUUCUCGGGGUUUGUACACACCGCCCGU
Molecule: ribosomal RNA, 489 nt
Filed under: uncultured bacterium
Lineage: Bacteria
Description: bacterial SSU rRNA
Rfam family: Bacterial small subunit ribosomal RNA
Source: RNAcentral